RNAcentral lists this long non-coding RNA (245 nucleotides) under Setaria italica (foxtail millet). RNAcentral's name for it is "long non-coding RNA (SITA_LNC007209)". The record is from RNAcentral. Lineage: Eukaryota; Viridiplantae; Streptophyta; Magnoliopsida; Poales; Poaceae.
GAGUGUGACCAGCUUAUAUUGGACUGAUAGUCCUUGUGCCGACAGUGAAGUCAAAAACGAUGCUGCUUGAAGGUGUAGCGAAAUGCCAGGUACCACGACAACUAGGUUUUUCCGAUAAGGGAAAUUUCAUUAAUCUUAGAUAGUUACAUCAAGGUGAUACAAAACCACAACAACUAGUUGGACCUGACAAGGUUUUCUCUGAUUUUUCUCGCAGCAUGGAAAAGAGCUGGCUGCAUGACUUCAAC